UACGUAGGGUGCGAGCGUUAAUCGGAAUUACUGGGCGUAAAGUGUGCGCAGGCGGCCGAGCAAGUCGAGUGUGAAAGCCCCGAGCUUAACUUGGGAACUGCGCUCGAAACUACUUGGCUAGAGUGUGGCAGAGGGAGGUGGAAUUCCACGUGUAGCGGUGAAAUGCGUAGAGAUGCGGAGGAACACCGAUGGCGAAGGCAGCCCCCUGGGCUAGCACUGACGCUCAGGCACGAAAGCGUGGGGAGCAAACAGG
Molecule: ribosomal RNA, 253 nt
Filed under: uncultured bacterium
Lineage: Bacteria
Description: partial 16S ribosomal RNA
Rfam family: Bacterial small subunit ribosomal RNA
Source: RNAcentral